CCUACGGGUGGCAGCAGUGGGGAAUAUUGGGCAAUGGACGCAAGUCUGACCCAGCAACGCCGCGUGAAGGAAGAAGGCUUUCGGGUUGUAAACUUCUUUUAAGGGGGAAGAGGAGAAGACGGUACCCCUUGAAUAAGCCACGGCUAACUACGUGCCAGCAGCCGCGGUAAUACGUAGGUGGCAAGCGUUGUCCGGAUUUACUGGGUGUAAAGGGCGUGCAGCCGGGCCGACAAGUCAGAUGUGAAAUCCGCGGGCUUAACCCGCGAACUGCAUUUGAAACUAUAGGUCUUGAGUGCCGGAGAGGUAAUCGGAAUUCCUUGUGUAGCGGUGAAAUGCGUAGAUAUUAGGAGGAACACCAGUGGCGAAGGCGGCUUACUGGACUGUAACUGACGUUGAGGCUCGAAGGCGUGGGGAGCAAACAGGAUUAGAUACCCUAGUAGUC
This 442-nucleotide ribosomal RNA is filed under the name uncultured bacterium. RNAcentral's name for it is "partial 16S ribosomal RNA". It matches the Rfam family "Bacterial small subunit ribosomal RNA", at positions 338 to 795 of the family's 1533-position model. The record is from RNAcentral.